This 975-nucleotide long non-coding RNA is filed under the name Chloebia gouldiae (Gouldian finch). RNAcentral describes it as "Erythrura gouldiae (Gouldian finch) lncRNA (ENSEGOG00005011437.1)". The record is from RNAcentral. Lineage: Eukaryota; Metazoa; Chordata; Aves; Passeriformes; Passeridae.
UCAAAUAAAGCCUUGACGACAUCUCCUUGCCCUCCCCCGGCUCUGCCCCUCCAAACACACCGCCUCCCGCUCCGUUUGGGGUUUUUUCUUGCUGUUCGGUUGCUCCCGGGCCGCCCUCCUCCCGGGGAAACCGCGACGGGCAGGGGGCCUGGGGCGGCCGGGAGCGGCGCGCUGGCGCGGGGGAGAGGCGGCUAGCGGAUCGCUCUGUGGGAGCGCGGGCAGGGCUGGCCGGGCGAGCAGCUAUUUCCUCGUCACAUGGCCAUUUGAACGCGACGCGGGAGCCUUGCCUAGCGAAGCGGGGGAGGGGGGGCGCCAAGAGCAGGGAGAGAAAAGAAAAGAGGAUCUCUAUUUCCCCUCGGCGGUCACCGAAACGGGGCGAGGUUAUGGAGCGGACUGGGGAGCAGCGGGGGGUCGGUCAGAAGCCCCUGCCCACCUGCUGGCACUCCCCUGCCCGUCCGGCUCCAGGAAGCGCCGCAAAAACCUCCUUCUCUCGGAUGGACGAAAUGUCCGCAGAAAGCACGGAGUAACCCUAACAACAAUGCUGAUAAGGAAAAGCCUGUCAUGGUUUCUUUUCAAGUCCGAUUUCAAGCCUGGGAAACUGGAUGAGCGAAAUCGGCCAUUUCGAAGUGAAAGCACUUUUCGAGAUAAGUUUUUUUCCCCCCUUCCCCCGUUGUUUUUUCCUCCUUUACUCCCCUGUCAUGAUUACUGCUUCCCGACCGGCAAGGCAAAAUUCAGAGAAAUUAAUGCCUACCUAGCUGUGGGAUGCAGGUGCCGAAGCAGUGGUGAGAGGAUGGACCGACAGCUUUGGCAAUAGAAACCGAAUACCCACCAACGCUGAAUGCAUGGCCGAUCCGGGGCUCGUCGUGCACAGGGCGCAAAUCCUGCUGCAGAAGGGCGUAUGUGUGCUCGCACAUGUGCUCGGUUACGGUGGCAAUAUUAAAAAUAAAAACUGCGAGUAACCUGCCGCCUUAAACA